RNAcentral lists this ribosomal RNA (490 nucleotides) under uncultured bacterium. RNAcentral describes it as "partial 16S ribosomal RNA". It matches the Rfam family "Bacterial small subunit ribosomal RNA", at positions 28 to 523 of the family's 1533-position model. The record is from RNAcentral.
GACGAACGCUGGCGGCGUGCUUAACACAUGCAAGUCGAGCGGUAAGGCCCUUCGGGGUACACGAGCGACGAACGGGUGAGUAACACGGGGGUGACCUGCCCCCCACUUCGGGAUAAGCCUGGGAAACUGGGUCUAAUACCGGAUAGGACCUUCUGGUGCAUGCUGGUUGGUGGAAAGUUUUUCGGUGGGGGAUGGGCGCGCGGCCUAUCAGCUUGUUGGUGGGGUGAUGGCCUACCAAGGCGACGACGGAUAGCCGGCCUGAGAGGGUGAGCGGCCACACUGGGACUGAGACACGGCCCAGACUCCUACGGGAGGCAGCAGUGGGGAAUCUUGCGCAAUGGGCGGAAGCCUGACGCAGCAACGCCGCGUGAGGGAUGACAGCCUUCGGGUUGUAAACCUCUUUCGCGAUCGACGAAGGCCCGUCUUUUGGGCGGGUUGACGGUAGGUCGAGAAGAAGCACCGGCCAACUACGUGCCAGCCGCCGCAGUAA